This 909-nucleotide long non-coding RNA is filed under the name Rattus norvegicus (Norway rat). Its description in RNAcentral is "long non-coding RNA NONRATT016049". The record is from RNAcentral. Lineage: Eukaryota; Metazoa; Chordata; Mammalia; Rodentia; Muridae.
GCGUGUGCGUGUGCGUGUGCUAUUGCUUUGUUUUGUCUUAUAAAGGUAAAGCUUGUCGGCACGUGAAACGAGAAGUCCAUUAGUUGACAUUUUCCUGUUUUUAGAAGCUACUCCCUUUUGGGGAGCAGGUCUGCAUGACUUGCUUACCUGAUGUGUCCCUGUUGUCAGGUCAGAGUGUGUUUCUGUGAGCUGUCAUUGUGGGGAACCAAUUGCUUUGUCAUAUAUCUGGUUCCGAACUAUAACUUGUUUGGGAAGUCUACUGAUGUUCCUGCUGGUUUUCCCAAGUGUGCUUUCGCAAUGCAUGGUAUCCACGUCACUUGGAAAGUGGGCUUUGUUGUCUGUCUGAAUUUAGGGUCACUUAAGAAAGGGGCAGUUAAAAAUAAAGCACAAUGCCUCACAUGGGACAAAGUUCCAAAAUGCCAAAUUCUUCUAUUUUUUACAACAACCUGUAGUUAUGUAAAAUAACUAGUACUGGGGGAGGGAAGGGGGUAGAAUUGGCUCAAUUGGAAAGACUCUCCCACUUCACACUAAGCUUGUUUGUCACCAUGAGAUAGCAUUGGCUGCCCAGGAUGCUGCUAUUUAAAAAAAAAAAAAAAGCAAAACAAAACAAAAAAAAAGAACCCUCAUUUAUAUGUGUGUAUUUUUUAAAGCUACACUCUGUUCAGUGUUUUUACAAAUCUGUUUAUAUGACAUUGAUAAACUAAAGUUGGUCUUUUGACGAGAGGGAGGAUGUCAUGGUUGGUUGUAAUUUUGCCUUUACAAGGUAACUGGGGUUGGGGUGGGGAGGGAGUGUGCCUCCUUGACAUUUUGUUCAAGUUAUAGAUUCAGUGAAGCUAUGUAUUGUUUUAAGUUGCUUAAUGCAUUGUAUUAGGUCCUCAAACAGAAUAAAGGUUGUUUUGAAACUUAAAA